AAGGGUGAGUAAGGCGACGGCAACCAACCCCAUGGUUGGGCAUAGCCGCGGGAAACUGCGGGUAAUUCCCAGCGAUGUUCGCGUCGGGCAUCCGAUGUGAACCAAAGUUUCGGCGCCGUGGGACGGGCCGUCGUGGUAUUAGGUCGUUGGCGGGGUAAUGGCCCACCAAGCCUCUGAUGCCUACCGGGCGUGCGAGCGUGGCCCGGCACACUGGGACUGAGACACUGCCCAGACUCCUACGGGAGGCUGCAGUCGAGAAUCUUCGGCAAUGGGCGCAAGCCUGACCGAGCGACGCCGCGUGGAGGAUGAAGGCCUUCGGGUUGUAAACUCCUGUCGAGGGGGAGGAAGGCGCAAGCUUGACCUAUCCCUGGAGGAAGCACGGGCUAAGUUCGUGCCAGCAGCCGCGGUAAGACGAACCGUGCGAACGUUAUUCGGAAUCACUGGGCUUAAAGCGCGUGUAGGCGGAUGGGGACGUCGGUUGCUGAAAUCCCCCGGCUCAACCGGGGAACGGGCACCGAAACGCCCCGUCUGGAGGGACGUAGGGGGACCUGGAACUUCCGGUGGAGCGGUGAAAUGCGUUGA
This 582-nucleotide ribosomal RNA is filed under the name uncultured bacterium. Its description in RNAcentral is "bacterial SSU rRNA". It matches the Rfam family "Bacterial small subunit ribosomal RNA", at positions 102 to 694 of the family's 1533-position model. The record is from RNAcentral.